AUGGUGAAGCACAACAACGUCAUCCCCAACGGCCACUUCAAGAAGCACUGGCAGAACUAUGUCAAGACGUGGUUCAACCAGCCCGCCCGCAAGCAGAGGCGCCGCAUCGCUCGCCAGAAGAAGGCUGUGAAGAUCUUCCCCCGUCCUACCUCUGGACCUCUUCGCCCCAUUGUGCAAUGCCAGACCCGCAAGUACAACAUGAAGGCCAGGGCUGGCAGGGGAUUUACCCUUGAGGAGCUUAAGUCCGCUGGCAUCCCAAAGAAGCUCGCUCCGACCAUUGGCAUUUCUGUGGACCACCGCCGCAAGAACAGGUCGCUUGAGGGUAUGCAGUCCAACAUCCAGAGGCUCAAGACCUACAAGGCCAAGCUUGUCAUCUUCCCAAGGCGUGCUCGCAAGGUCAAGGCUGGUGACUCUACUCCGGAGGAGCUUGCCAAUGCCACACAGGUCCAGGGCGACUACAUGCCCAUUGCCCGUGGCGAGAAGCGCUCAGUCGAGGUCAUGAAGGUCACAGAGGAGAUGAAGGAGUUCAAGGCCUAUGGCAAGCUCCGCGUCGAGAGGAUGAACCAGCGCCAGUUGGGAGCCAGGCAGAAGAAGGCUGCCGAGGCGGAGAAGGAGGAGAAGAAGUGA
Molecule: ribosomal RNA, 627 nt
Filed under: Triticum aestivum (bread wheat)
Lineage: Eukaryota; Viridiplantae; Streptophyta; Magnoliopsida; Poales; Poaceae
Description: partial small subunit ribosomal RNA
Source: RNAcentral